AUCUCAAAAACUCCCACUGAACCUAAAAUUCUACUUUUUGAGACCUUAACCCACUUAAACCUCAAUAUCCCUCAAUUCAAUCGUUAGAUCAAGCUGAAAUGCACGACACAUAUUAAAUACAACUAUAACCAUAAACCCACAAAAUUUCACUAGUAGAUCUAUUACAAAACUCUUGAAAUCACCCAAAACGUAAAUCCUAUUUUAUUUCAUAAAAUCUAAGUCAUCCGAAACAAACCUCAACUUUGCAAACCUCUUACAAAGUCAUAUCAACUCCAAAUCAUCCAAAAUAUACGUUUAUAGAAAGCCUAUUUAGUGUGAUAUCAAAUCUCACUCUCCAAUUUCCAAAAGAACCUCGAAGUCGUCGUUGAGACUUAGUUUUUUUGCCCCAGGGUUUGAUUUCGACCCUGGUUCAUAACCGGCCCUCUCCGGGCAUCAAUAUCUAGUUUUUCUAAGUAACUUUUUUCUAGAAUUUAUUCUUAACUUUCUUCUAAAGAUGCUUAUAUCAUUUAUUUUCCCAAUCUACUUUGAUUUGCCUUACUUAUGGUACUACAAAGUAAGUAGAAGUCACCUUUCUAAAA
RNAcentral lists this long non-coding RNA (578 nucleotides) under Physcomitrium patens. Its description in RNAcentral is "long non-coding RNA (PPAT_LNC007675)". Lineage: Eukaryota; Viridiplantae; Streptophyta; Bryopsida; Funariales; Funariaceae. The record is from RNAcentral.